AGUAAGCGCUCAAGAAAUACCAUUGACCGACUGACAGGAAGGCGAAUUAGCGGAUAGGGCCGAAAUGGAGAACUGCAAUGUCAUUUACUGGGAUAUUGCAGCCAUAUCGUUAUAUCUGUACCACAGUGACCCUCCAGUUAUCUAAAGCAAACAGAUCACCACCAUCCUCCCUUGCCAGAGCAACUCCAUAGGAAUUUUACCUAAGGGGAUUUUCCCGAGAACCACCCGGAGUUCAGGAAAAAAAUCCUCAGUCGAGUACUAACCUAAGAGACAGGAGAUCCCAAUUCUUAGUUCUACUACCUUCUUUCUGAAAACCUGAGAUAAUCACUUCACCCCUUACCCCCCCAGUUUCCACAGCUGCAAAACGGGUAAUAUCAUUUGUUACCUCCCAACUCGAAUCGAAAGGUGAAGAAGAGCACUUUCAGAACUGCUGGAAAAUACCUUAGCGGAAGAUCAAUGUCAGGGGUAAUUCAAGCUCCAUUUUGAGCUUGCCCUCUGCCUUCUCUCCACAUCCUACUCCCUAUAUGGUGGUGAGCGUUCACUGGAAACUGCCAUCCUAUGUCCAAAACGGGGAAGUGUCAGCUAUUGUAGUCUGAGGGCUGGAAUUUUAAAUAUUUCUGUGGUCAUGACUCAUUGCCAUUCAAUUUUAACAGUCAACUUUCUCCUGCUUAUUCUCUUUCUGACUCUGGGCGACAUUUGCACAAUAUUCUCGUUGUAAGAGUAGGAGAAUGCAUCCCGAAUUCAUCUUCCAAAAUCGCACUGAAUUGGAGAUUGUCGUCACCGCAUGGGAGGCUCGGAGAGCCUACCUAGGCCUCAGGAAUCGUGACUCCUUUUGGAAGCUGCAGCCCUUAAAAGGUUCGCAACUGGGAUGUGUUACGUCAGAUACCUCGAUAGGUCCCCUCCGUGCCUCAGUUCCCUUAUCUGUAAAAGGGGGAUGAAGACUGUGAGCCCCACGUGGGACAACCUGAUGACCAUGUAUCUACCCAGAACUUAGAACGGUGCUUGGCACAUAAUAAGUGCUUAACAUCAUCAUCAUCAUCAUCAAAGACGUCGACUGGGGGUUUUGCUGGUGCUUGGGAAACACCUAUUUGAAUUAUUGAUGUUGGAGCUUGUUCUUCUGGACUUGGCCUCUUCGCAGAGCUGAUCCAAGCAGGGAUUUCUCUUUGAUGUCAGCAGGAGAGCCCCGCUCUGAUGUGAAUUUGGGAUGGAAAACCAAAUCCCGAUCCGGCUUACUCACUGCAGCUGUGUGAGAAAGAGUGGCAACCCAAGAGUUUUCAAAAAAGGAAAUGAAGCCAACAUGGCUCACUCCCUAGCAUUCCUCCUCUUCCAAAUAAGACCUCCUCUCCAAUUAAGGCUGUCUGGGGAAUCUUAGUCAAUAUUGUUGGACUGUCUAUUCUGGAACUUCCCCGGAAUAAAAUUAGUCACCGGAGAGGGAAGGAGGAAGGGUAGAUGAUAAACUGACCUUAUCCUCACUCUUCCAAACUAUCUUUUGGUUUAAUAUAGCUCCGAACAUUAAACUUCUUCAGAACCUCUCUC
Long non-coding RNA from Ornithorhynchus anatinus (platypus), 1536 nucleotides. RefSeq lists it as uncharacterized. NCBI's taxonomy places the organism in Eukaryota, Metazoa, Chordata, Mammalia, Monotremata, Ornithorhynchidae. The transcript has 2 exons. The record is from RefSeq and is a predicted model, not a curated record.